AAGGCCAGCCUGGGCUACUGAGCAAGUGCCAGGAUAGGCUCCAAAGUUAUACAGAGCAACCCUGUCUCAAAAAACCAAAACCAAACAAACAAACAAAACAACUAUAAGUCUCUCUCCUUUUCCAAAGUGUGAAGGGACUGAGUCUCCUGGGCAGGGAUCUAGGCUGGAGGGUGUCAGACCCACAUCCUCAUCAAAAAGGCACUCCUCCUGGCUUCCCCAGUUUUCUAUUUUGAUUUAAAUGAGGAUACUGCAGGCCUUCCUCUGUAGAUGAAAGUUUCUGUCCGGCCAGGUCCCCCAGCUGUUUAAUCCCAAAUAAACACACAGAGGCUUAUAUUAAUUAUAAACUGUUUUGUGGAUGGCUCAGGCUUCUUAGUGGCUAUUUCUCUCUUAAUUAUUAGCCCAUUUCUGUUAAUCUGUGUAUCUCCAUGUGGUGUUAGAUUACUGGUAAUGCUCGGGUCUGUUUCUUCCGUGGCAGCUACAAGUCAUCACUCUCACAACUCAUGCUUUCUGUUCCUCUUCUCAGAAUUCUCCUAGUCUGGUAUCCCCGCCUAUACGUCUUGCCUGGCUACAUCCUGCCUGUCCAUUGGCCAAAACAGCUUUAUUCAUCAACCAGUCCCUGCUUCAAAAUGCCCUCUUUGGGCCCCGAGGCCGUCGCCAGUCAUUCCUGCCGUCUCCUUUUCAAAAGAUUAUUAUUUUAUUUUAAAUUA
Cricetulus griseus (Chinese hamster) is the source of this 707-nucleotide non-coding RNA. The record is from RefSeq and is a predicted model, not a curated record. NCBI's taxonomy places the organism in Eukaryota, Metazoa, Chordata, Mammalia, Rodentia, Cricetidae.